This 21-nucleotide non-coding RNA is filed under the name Caenorhabditis elegans. Lineage: Eukaryota; Metazoa; Nematoda; Chromadorea; Rhabditida; Rhabditidae. The record is from RNAcentral.
UAGUUGUGCUUUAUACACUCG